RNAcentral lists this ribosomal RNA (165 nucleotides) under uncultured bacterium. RNAcentral's name for it is "partial 16S ribosomal RNA". It matches the Rfam family "Bacterial small subunit ribosomal RNA", at positions 1334 to 1500 of the family's 1533-position model. The record is from RNAcentral.
GCUAGUAAUCGCGGAUCAGCAUGCCGCGGUGAAUACGUUCCCGGGCCUUGUACACACCGCCCGUCACACCAUGAGAGUUGGCAACACCCGAAGUCAGUAGGCAAACGGAAGAAGCCGCUGCCGAAGGUGGGGUCGAUGAUUGGGGUGAAGUCGUAACAAGGUAAC